This is a long non-coding RNA of Hippocampus zosterae (dwarf seahorse), 551 nucleotides long. RefSeq lists it as uncharacterized. The transcript has 5 exons. The record is from RefSeq and is a predicted model, not a curated record. Lineage: Eukaryota; Metazoa; Chordata; Actinopteri; Syngnathiformes; Syngnathidae.
UGCUGAACUGUUCGGGUGCAGAUUCCGCUGUGGGCUUGCCAAAAGCGGACUGUGUGGUCGUACCCGGCCGUGGCUAAAAUGACCGGGUCGCUGCCCACGGUCCCCUGAUUCACGUUCAUGCUUGUCUUCUGGCUGCCACUGUCGAAUUAUGGUUUGUGGUGAAGACACGUCCGCCAGCAUCUCACUGAAUGCCGAGCAAUCGUGAUCCGGAGGAAGAUCACGGAGCAGCGGUACAGGAAGCAAAAGCGACCUCAUGACAGGCGACCCGGCUACUCCUCAAAAACCUCAGUGUCAUUGCCAAGCCACCGCCGCAAGGAAUGCGGCCUGCAGCUGAGCCAGAAAGCACCACUCAUGCAACCGACGUUCGCAUUCGAUCACAAAAACAUGGACGGCAGAUGAAGUGUGUGGCGUCGGCGUUAUUUUCAGCCUCCCCUCGACCCAGUCUUUGACCCCCGGCCGGUUCCUCUGGAGGCUGGUGGCCUCCUUCCCCCGCAUGGACCUCCUCUGUAACCUUGUUGUGGUUGCGAGUGAUAGCGAACACCCAGCUGUCG